RNAcentral lists this transfer RNA (72 nucleotides) under Aedes aegypti (yellow fever mosquito). It matches the Rfam family "tRNA". Rfam says of the family: Transfer RNA (tRNA) molecules are approximately 80 nucleotides in length. Their secondary structure includes four short double-helical elements and three loops (D, anti-codon, and T loops). Lineage: Eukaryota; Metazoa; Arthropoda; Insecta; Diptera; Culicidae. The record is from Rfam by way of RNAcentral.
GGCUCGGUAGCUUAGUUGGUAAAGCGCUCGUCUAGCAUACAAGAGUCCUGGGUUCAAAUCCAAGCCGAGCAC